UACGUAGGGGGCUAGCGUUGUCCGGAAUCAUUGGGCGUAAAGCGCGUGUAGGCGGUCCGGUAAGUCCGCUGUGAAAGUCGGGGGCUCAACCCUCAGGUGCCGGUGGAUACUGUCGGGCUUGAGUACGGAAGAGGCGAGUGGAAUUCCUGGUGUAGCGGUGAAAUGCGCAGAUAUCAGGAGGAACACCAAUUGCGAAGGCAGCUCGCUGGGACGUUACUGACGCUGAGACGCGAAAGCGUGGGGAGCAAACAGG
This 253-nucleotide ribosomal RNA is filed under the name uncultured bacterium. RNAcentral's name for it is "partial 16S ribosomal RNA". It matches the Rfam family "Bacterial small subunit ribosomal RNA", at positions 524 to 776 of the family's 1533-position model. The record is from RNAcentral.